AGGAAUGCGGUCUGGGAAAGAAGAGAAGAUUGUAACAAUGUACAGACUGUAAACAAAGAAGAAGAGCGGAAGCCAAACCUGCAACUACACAGGACGUGACAGCUACUGGAACUGAGUGAACGAAGGGUUUGACUUAUGUGUGGGAGGGAGAAAGAGCAAAGGGAGAAAAAUACUUCCCAAUAAAUAGGCGUGAAAGUUUCACACAACAGUUUCCUGCCAUUCAACAACACACAGCACCGGGCGUUCACAGGGACCGGCUGGGCCUCGGAGCUGUUCGUCUUUGGGACUUCUACUACGAUGACGGCCGCUGUGUUUGGAUUAAACAUGUGUGGAGAAUCUUAGCCAAAACUUUCAACUUUUAAAAGGAAGAAGCUUCAUGUGAAAGCAGUCACCUGAAAUUGGACUUUUGUUUAGGGGACGCCUGUCAAUACAACUACCUGCCAUCUCAAUAGGACUUUAAUAUCACUCUGAAUCACCAACUGGACAACUAAGAACUCACUGAAGGAGUGCACUCAGACUGAGGAUUUAAAGUUUUAUCAGAAAUGUCUAAGUCGCAUGAAGCGGCGGGGGAGGAGGAGGACCUCCCACUGUACACCAUCCCAGGAGAAGGAGCCACACAAAAUAAUCAAGCAUACAUCAGCAAUGGUCCGGGCGCCGCCUCCUUCUGCGAUGACCAGCACCACAGGAAACUCGCCAUCUGCAGCAUCAUCUGUGGGAUCUCCUGCAUCGGAAUCAUGGCUCUGAUCAAUUCAGUCAAGGCUGAGACAGCGGAGGAUCCAGAGAAAGCGGCGCCGUUUUUAAAACGGGCAAAAACGUUUGGCAUCAUCUCCAUCGUGGUUUGGGUUUCCAUUCUGGUUUUAACUCCCUUGCUGAUAGUGCUGAUCUCGUACCUCCUCACUCUGGGAGACUGAUCAACUUUGAACAAUGGCUACAGAAGUCAACCAGAGGAGUGACUUUUUGGAUGUUAAUGGAGACGGACAGUACAAAGCUCCUCAUCAACUACUAAACGCCACGAAGAAACAUAAAACAGACUGUUUUCUUGUGCUGAUGACGUGACCCCUGUCCCAGUUUACACUAUUCUACUUACCGUACUCCAAACCAGGUGUUGUGUUUUUUAUGAAAGGAUCAACCGCUCUAGAAAACAGUAUAAAAAAACGUUACAACUUUGUUAUAUGCUGUAAUAUUUAUUUAACAAUAUAUGAACAUGGACAAUUCAAAAUCGAAACGACCAUAUAAAAAUCCAGCAGUGCCUAUAGUUUGAGACAUGACACUAUAUGACACAUAUACAUUAGAAAUGUCAUUCACCAAUAAAGACCCAAUCCUUAAUAUUACAAUUUAACAUACUCAUUCUGAGAUAAUGUAUAUACUACAGAUACUACAAAAGUUAAUAAAUUACUCCAUCUGUCAAUCUAAAAAGUCGUGACAUUAACUUGUUCAUCAGGGAUUGGGUCUCUACUGGAGGACAUGCAUGUGAUGGCAGUGAGAACAAGAUCCUGCUCUUAUUGACAACUUUACCGUGGCAAUAUUGCAUUGUUACCAUUCUAGCUGUAUUAAUGUCAAAUGUAUCAAUAUGUUGUACUUUUAUACAAACAGAAACUAUUUCAUAAUAAAAACGACUUUGUGCUCCGAUUUGUUUGAAGGAUCUUGACCCGCCCUCGUAAAAACAAUUACCAACAACAUCUAUUUAAACAUUUUACAGUUAAGGCAAUCUCGUCGAAAUUUGGCCAACAAGAAAAAUACAUACAUGAGCAGUUCAUCCAGAAGUUACAUUCGCAAUACAAAUAUAGACGGCACGAAACCAUCCAGAGAACCACAGGUCAUUUAAAGCCAACCAGCAG
Molecule: long non-coding RNA, 1838 nt
Organism: Anarrhichthys ocellatus (wolf-eel)
Lineage: Eukaryota; Metazoa; Chordata; Actinopteri; Perciformes; Anarhichadidae
Exons: 3
Source: RefSeq, a predicted model, not a curated record